This 253-nucleotide ribosomal RNA is filed under the name uncultured bacterium. RNAcentral's name for it is "partial 16S ribosomal RNA". It matches the Rfam family "Bacterial small subunit ribosomal RNA", at positions 524 to 776 of the family's 1533-position model. The record is from RNAcentral.
GACGUAGGGGGCCAGCGUUGUUCGGAAUUACUGGGCGUAAAGCGCACGUAGGCGGAUUUGUAAGUCAGGGGUGAAAUCCCGGGGCUCAACCUCGGAACUGCCUUUGAUACUGCAAAUCUCGAGUCCGGAAGAGGUGAGUGGAAUUCCUAGUGUAGAGGUGAAAUUCGUAGAUAUUAGGAAGAACACCAGUGGCGAAGGCGGCUCACUGGUCCGGUACUGACGCUGAGGUGCGAAAGCGUGGGGAGCAAACAGG